Megachile rotundata (alfalfa leafcutting bee) is the source of this 363-nucleotide long non-coding RNA. NCBI's taxonomy places the organism in Eukaryota, Metazoa, Arthropoda, Insecta, Hymenoptera, Megachilidae. The record is from RefSeq and is a predicted model, not a curated record.
GGAAAACGUAGAUAGUUAUGUUAAUAAGUAGAAAAAACUAAUCAAAGGUUUCUCAGAGAUAUUUGUCCCUAAUCAUUCGUAUGAAAUUAUCGGUUAGGUGACCUCUAACGUGGAAGAAAGAUCUGGAGAAGCGAGAUCAGGGCAUUUCCGGAAAUGCACGCUAUAGUAGUUGGUCAAGGCCAUCAGCUCAUUGAACAUCCUUCCACGGCGAGUACAAAGAAGAAUAUGGAACGACAGCCUGUCGAUCUAAGCAUUGGCGUACGACUCUUUAGCGCAAAACUGUACGUUCAAAUACAAAUUGUCUCUCGUUCAAAUUUUAUUUAAAAAGUAUCUAAGCAUAAUAAAACAAUCAGUUAAAUACUA